This 468-nucleotide ribosomal RNA is filed under the name uncultured bacterium. RNAcentral describes it as "partial 16S ribosomal RNA". It matches the Rfam family "Bacterial small subunit ribosomal RNA", at positions 28 to 507 of the family's 1533-position model. The record is from RNAcentral.
GACGAACGCUGGCGGCGUGCUUAACACAUGCCAGUCGAACGGAAAGGCCCUGCUUUUGUGGGGUGCUCGAGUGGCGAACGGGUGAGUAACACGUGAGUAACCUGCCCUUGACUUUGGGAUAACUUCAGGAAACUGGGGCUAAUACCGGAUAGGAGCUCCUGCUGCAUGGUGGGGGUGGGAAAGUUUCGGCGGUUGGGGAUGGACUCGCGGCUUAUCAGCUUGUUGGUGGGGUAGUGGCUUACCAAGGCCUUGACGGGUAGCCGGCCUGAGAGGGUGACCGGCCACAUUGGGACUGAGAUACGGCCCAGACUCCUACGAGAGGCAGCAGUGGGGAAUAUUGCACAAUGGGCGGAAGCCUGAUGCAGCAACGCCGCGUGCGGGAUGACGGCCUUCGGGUUGUAAACCGCUUUCGCCUGUGACGAAGCGUGAGUGACGGUAAUGGGUAAAGAAGCACCGGCUAACUACGUG